GCGCAACAACCCGACGAAAGUGAAAGGUACGGCGACUGCCUGUUCUGCACCUGGUUUCUCCACCAGGGGAGCUUACCCCCUCCCCUCCCCCCCACACAGUGAAUCACUGGUAGGGCGAGACAUAUCCAGCGAUAUGUGCUUGUUUCUCGGGCUGCCUAGCUCUGUCUGGGCGUUGCUCGGUAUCGAGUUUGUCGAGCGUCUCGGCUACUACGCCGUUGCUUUUUCUCUCUUCACUUAUUGCACCAUCAUGCUCCGGACAGGCCCGGCGGCGGCGAAUGCGCUGAUUAACAUCGUUUACAUCCUCGUCCCCGGGGCAGCGUUCCUUGCGUCGGGUGUGGCGGAUAGCCGGGUUGGUCGACCGCGUGUGCUGGCCACUGCGCUGGCCGUCUACACAGCCUCGCUGCUCCUUUUGUGCGUGUCGGCUACGCCCUGGCUAUACACCGCCUUCCCUCUCGACGCGAACUGUGGUAGUAAGGCGCUGUUUGCUGUGGCACUGCUGGGAUUUGGCGCCGGGUACGGUUCUAUGAAGGUGUGCACCAAUCCGAUCAUGGCGGACUGCGUCGUGCUGCAUUACCGUAACGCCCUCAUUCGGCUGCCAACCAUCGUUGACGCCGGGAGGGCAGAGGCGGCGGAGAGUGCUUCGAGUGUUUCCAAUGCUGCCGAUCUCUCCACACGUCAGAUAGCCUCCUUGCCGGGGGCGGCUCGCGAGGGUGUCGCCGCCGAUGCGGCUGCCAAAGUGGGUGACGCGCCGAAGUACGAUGCUUCGCUGUACGGCUCCACCACCAAUGCAGACACCACCGCGUCUCUGUACGAGGAGGAGGACGUGAAGGCGGCCCUCUCCCGCCUGUUUGUGUACGCCUACUGGGUGGGAAACAUCGGCGGCCUUGCUGGAGGCUUUGUUGCCCCACUCUUGCGCAAUUUCGAUAGCCAUCGCCUCUCGCAGGGCGGUGAGGAGCACACAACCGGCUACUACUACAGCUUCCUGCUAGCGGCCUUGUCGGUCGGCCUCGGCGGCGCUUUCCUCUACGGGCGCUUUGACUGGCUGCCUCGCAACGCGCCAGCACCCAAGUUUGUGCUCGUUCGCGUGACCGUGCUCGCGCUGCAAAACAGGUGGGCGGUGCUGCGAGGCAGUGCGCGAAUUGUGCCCGACAGCCGCGGUGGCAUCUCGAAUCCCCACGACUGGCUAGAUUAUGCCUGUGCCAAGCUACAGUCGGUUUCAUCUGAGACAGGAGGCACCUCUGCUGCCCACCACGCCGUCCCUGACGAAGCCACUGCGACUUCCGAGUGUUCUACCUUGGCUGCGUGUGGUCCGAGCAGCAGCACCUCCGUUGCGGACCUUGGCGUCGACGCCGCUGGCACCUCGCUCUGGGUGGCGGACUGCCGCGCGACGCUGCGAAUCUGCAAGGCCUUCAUUGCACUGCCCAUUUAUUGGCUGAUCUGCAAUCAGUUCAGCACAAACCUCAUGUACCAGGCCGCGGCGCUGGAUAUGCCCCUGACCGUGCCUGAGGAGCUUUUCAACAACGUCAACACCGUCACCAUGCUUCUCUUCUUGGCUCUCUGGGACCAGUGGCUGCUUCCGCACGUGCUGCGGUACCGUGUUCCCUCCGCCUGUCUUCGCAUUCUGGCAGGCUUUGCGUGCAUGUGCGUUUCCAUGCUUUGGUGCGGCUUCUUACAGUGCUCCAUCAACAGCCGUGGCUACUAUGAAGGCGAGGACAACUACAUUCUCCGCGAAGGUCAACAGAAGCUGUCGGCGGGGUGGCUGGUAAUGCCGUACAUUCUGCAAGGCUUCGCCUCUGCCUUCGUAGACCCGACUGUGAUGGAGGUGGCGUACCACGACGCCCCGGAGCGGAUGAAGGGGACCGUGAUGGGGCUGUACUGGGUCGCCUCCAGCGCGAGCGGCUUUCUCGGCUUCGUUCUUUCACCGGUGAUGAGGCCGCAGAACGCAGCGGCACUCUUCUUUUCCUUCGCUACGGCUCAGAUGGCCGUGUCAGUGCUCUUCUACCUCAUCAACUGCAGCCGCUAAGGGAGUGUGUGCCUCUGCAUUGUGUUACAGGCCACAUGAAUAAGUCUAUGUCUUUUUGUUCGUUUAGGCGCACUGGCGCCGCCCCGAGCACGCGCACGCACUCAUCGAGAUUCGUACGACUGGGCACGCGCCACGUCACGGCGACAUCAUCACUGCCUCCGCUGGUACGUUCACCUGCAUAGGCCCGCGGCUCCCUCUCUCCCUUAUGCUUCACAUCAAGACAUCUACAUCAUUGACGGCCGACGAGCCGGGUGUAGCCCGAGACGCUGUCACGCCGCCACCUCGACCACCUUUGUCGCCUUUCUCCGUGCUACAAUAUUCGCUGUGGCAGCAGUGCUCACAUUUACCUUUCUGCGCCUUUGGUGCCUCGCCGUUGUGCUCAGCGAAGGAAAGGCGAGAUAUAGGGGAUAGAAACGUGUGCAAUGGUGGUAUUGCGACCCUUUUCCUUCUUCCUCUUCUCUGCUUCAUCGGCACGCGCUCGUGUUGCCUCUCUCUCUGAGAUGUAACGACAUGCUCGUCACACGUAUGCGUCUCCAGUCGCUUUCCCUCUGGUCUUCCGCAACUCGCAGGGUACGUUCGGCGGGAUGGUUCACAUGCGCUCAUGUGUGUGUGUGUGUGCCCCCUUCCCCCCAAAGGACCAAGAGGCGGAUUCGAUUAUAAGCGUGCACCGCAUUGC
This 2699-nucleotide unclassified non-coding RNA is filed under the name Leishmania donovani. RNAcentral's name for it is "gene:LdHU3.33.1070(CDS-product:POT_family_putativ e)". The record is from RNAcentral. Lineage: Eukaryota; Euglenozoa; Kinetoplastea; Trypanosomatida; Trypanosomatidae.